UCUGGUGCCAGCAGCCGCGGUAAUUCCAGCUCCAAUAGCGUAUAUUAAAGUUGUUGCAGUUAAAAAGCUCGUAGUUGAAUUUCGGAAUUUGUCCGUCGGUCGGGCUUCACUGUCCGUACUGGUGUGAUGGGUUUCUACCUUUCUGAAUAACCGGCCAUGUCAUUAAUUUGGUGCGCCGGGGAAGCAGAACUAUUACCUUGAAAAAAUUAGAGG
Molecule: ribosomal RNA, 213 nt
Filed under: uncultured Acaulospora
Lineage: Eukaryota; Fungi; Glomeromycota; Glomeromycetes; Diversisporales; Acaulosporaceae
Description: partial 18S ribosomal RNA
Rfam family: Eukaryotic small subunit ribosomal RNA
Source: RNAcentral